RNAcentral lists this ribosomal RNA (362 nucleotides) under uncultured Enterobacter sp. Its description in RNAcentral is "SSU rRNA". It matches the Rfam family "Bacterial small subunit ribosomal RNA", at positions 958 to 1320 of the family's 1533-position model. The record is from RNAcentral. Lineage: Bacteria; Pseudomonadati; Pseudomonadota; Gammaproteobacteria; Enterobacterales; Enterobacteriaceae.
AACGCGAAGAACCUUACCUACUCUUGACAUCCAGAGAACUUAGCAGAGAUGGUUUGGUGCCUUCGGGAACUCUGAGACAGGUGCUGCAUGGCUGUCGUCAGCUCGUGUUGUGAAAUGUUGGGUUAAGUCCCGCAACGAGCGCAACCCUUAUCCUUUGUUGCCAGCGGUCCGGCCGGGAACUCAAAGGAGACUGCCAGUGAUAAACUGGAGGAAGGUGGGGAUGACGUCAAGUCAUCAUGGCCCUUACGAGUAGGGCUACACACGUGCUACAAUGGCGCAUACAAAGAGAAGCGACCUCGCGAGAGCAAGCGGACCUCAUAAAGUGCGUCGUAGUCCGGAUUGGAGUCUGCAACUCGACUCCA